Non-coding RNA from Erinaceus europaeus (western European hedgehog), 82 nucleotides. The record is from Rfam. Lineage: Eukaryota; Metazoa; Chordata; Mammalia; Eulipotyphla; Erinaceidae.
UCUUGAUUAAGUUCCAAUAGAACCUUCUGACCUUCCACUGUGGACUCAAUAGCAGGAAAAUGAAGAAGAAAGUGGAAAAAGA